AGUGUGCAUGCAUGGGGGGAGUGGAUAGGGAGGAAAUACUGAUGUAAGUAAGCAUCUUAUCAGUGAGUUUCUAGAACUGCUUUCCAUGAACUUCAUCCCAGCAUCACCUCCCCAGUUUACUUCAAGGAUAAGCUGAAAGUGAGAGUCAACCGGGUGCGAACUUGCCACAAUCUCACAGCUAGCUGCUGAAGUGAGACUGUGGCUACAAAUAUUUUUCUGAGCCAAAUUUAAAGACAGAGCACCUAAUUUGCUUAAAAAUUAAUAGCACCUUGUCAACCAAGCCUAAGAAACAUUUCUGAAAAAGCUACCAAGAGGAACGAGACUAAGUAAAAACAAGCCUAAGCAAGAGUGACCUAUAGGAAGAUCUAUGAAAUCAGACAUCAGCGCCAUCGUCUGCAGUUUACAGGCUAACAGCUUCACUCAGUGCCACUGCUACGGGACAAUCUGGUCUGGAACUGAAACCAGAGAAAGACAGCUACACACCCUUCUCUGAAUCUAAUGACUAAGCACCCACUCAGCUUGGCAUGGUGAUUUAUGCCAAGGCCACACAGCUCCCCCUCAUCAUCAAGGAAUGCACUGUGGUGGAAGCCCAAUAACAAUGAGAACAGAAGCAAGACAGGAGAGAAAAGGAUCUGUAUAUGCUGCAGUUGCACUAUGACUAGAAUUUAUGUCUAUAAAGCAAGAUACAGAAAUCUAAGGAAUCAAAUUAUUUAUAUAUAAGGAAGUCAUCGGAGCCUAUUUUCAACAUUUUAAGGAAUAACAUUGUUCUAAAAGGGAGAAAUGGAAAGGAACAUUCAUUGUUGGCCUGAUAGUUUUCUUGUGUAGGGACGCAGAACAAAAAUAAUUAAUAUACGAAAUGAGGGUAGAAAUACACAUAAUUUUUAUACAUAUACUAAAAAAAAAAUCUGAGACCACUGAUCUAGACAUUACCUAUCUUUCCUCUAACUUUAACCAGGAUUGCUUACUUACCUCCAACAAAAUCUGCUUCACCCACACAAUAAAACCAGUAUAAAGGUAUCUUGAAAAUCCAUCUCAUAUGAUCUUAGAAGAAAACCGCUAAUUGACCAGUAGAUU
Talpa occidentalis (Iberian mole) is the source of this 1074-nucleotide long non-coding RNA. RefSeq lists it as uncharacterized. The transcript is spliced from 4 exons. NCBI's taxonomy places the organism in Eukaryota, Metazoa, Chordata, Mammalia, Eulipotyphla, Talpidae. The record is from RefSeq and is a predicted model, not a curated record.